This is a non-coding RNA of Escherichia coli str. K-12 substr. MG1655, 79 nucleotides long. The record is from Rfam. Lineage: Bacteria; Pseudomonadati; Pseudomonadota; Gammaproteobacteria; Enterobacterales; Enterobacteriaceae.
GGCCGGAUAAGACGUUCACGCCGCAUCCGGCAACUGCGCCAUAAUGCCUGAUGCGACGCUAAACGCGUCUUUUCAGGCG